This 794-nucleotide ribosomal RNA is filed under the name uncultured Actinomycetes bacterium. Its description in RNAcentral is "bacterial SSU rRNA". It matches the Rfam family "Bacterial small subunit ribosomal RNA", at positions 560 to 1349 of the family's 1533-position model. Lineage: Bacteria; Bacillati; Actinomycetota; Actinomycetes. The record is from RNAcentral.
GUAAAGGGCUCGUAGGCGGUUUGUCGCGUCGGGAGUGAAAACCAUGAGCUUAACUCAUGGCUUGCUUCCGAUACGGGCAGACUAGAGGUAUGCAGGGGAGAAUGGAAUUCCUGGUGUAGCGGUGAAAUGCGCAGAUAUCAGGAGGAACACCGGUGGCGAAGGCGGUUCUCUGGGCAUUACCUGACGCUGAGGAGCGAAAGUGUGGGGAGCGAACAGGAUUAGGUACCCUGGUAGUCCACACCGUAAACGUUGGGCGCUAGGUGUGGGAUCCAUUCCACGGGUUCCGUGCCGCAGCUAACGCUUUAAGUACCCCGCCUGGGGAGUACGGCCGCAAGGCUAAAACUCAAAGGAAUUGACGGGGCCCCGCACAAGCGGCGGAGCAUGCGGAUUAAUUCGAUGCAACGCGUAGAACCUUACCUGGGUUUGACAUGGAUCGGGAGUGCUCAGAGAUGGGUGUGCCUCUUUUGGGGUCGGUUCACAGGUGGUGCAUGGCUGUCGUCAGCUCGUGUCGUGAGAUGUUGGGUUAAGUCCCGCAACGAGCGCAACCCUUGUUUACUUGUCGCCAGCACGUUAUGGUGGGGACUCAGUGGAGACCGCCGGGGUCAACUCGGAGGAAGGUGGGGAUGACGUCAAGUCAUCAUGCCCCUUAUGUCCAGGGCUUCACGCAUGCUACAAUGGCUGGUACAGAGAGUGGCGAGCCUGUGAGGGUGAGCGAAUCUCGGAAAGCCGGUCUCAGUUCGGAUUGGGGUCUGCAACUCGACCUCAUGAAGUCGGAGUCGCUAGUAAUCGCAGAU